Molecule: ribosomal RNA, 209 nt
Filed under: uncultured bacterium
Lineage: Bacteria
Description: partial 16S ribosomal RNA
Rfam family: Bacterial small subunit ribosomal RNA
Source: RNAcentral
CACGCAGGCGGUUUGUUAAGUCAGAUGUGAAAUCCCCGGGCUCAACCUGGGAACUGCAUCUGAUACUGGCAAGCUUGAGUCUCGUAGAGGGGGGUAGGAAUUCCAGGUGUAGCGGUGAAAUGCGUAGAGAUCUGGAGGAAUACCGGUGGCGAAGGCGGCCCCCGUCGGACGAAGACUGACGCUCAGGUGCGAAAGCGUGGGAGCAAACA